This 1005-nucleotide long non-coding RNA is filed under the name Sarcophilus harrisii (Tasmanian devil). RNAcentral describes it as "lncRNA (ENSSHAG00000027659.1)". The record is from RNAcentral. Lineage: Eukaryota; Metazoa; Chordata; Mammalia; Dasyuromorphia; Dasyuridae.
UUCCUGACUCUAGGUCUGACUCUAUCCCCUGCCGCUGGAGCUAUGGGGGGAGCCGCCUAGACCACAUACGCAGUCAGGGAAACCCGUGUGAUGACAGCAGUUAUAAAGCGCCUUCAACUUUUCCAAGUUUACAAAUGUUACUUGUUUUUCACAACCGUGUGAGGGAGGUGCCGGGCUACUUCUGUUUCACUGCGGAGGAACGGUGACUCGCCCAGGAUGGCAAAGCUAGACAUGCUCAAUGACUUUUUUGCAUUUAUAUACCUUGCAUAUGUUGGUUUCUAUUCAAUAAUUUACCCACCAGCCACCUUGGAGAAAUUAUACUGGCAAGUAGUUGGACUCAUACUUUCUGUUGCCUUCUUGUCUAUACUAGAUGUUAUUUUACAAGGCCGGCAUUUUUUGGAUUGGAGGACAAAAACUGGAAUAAAGUACAAAAGUGACUCUGCAACCAGAUCGAAGUCUCUGGACACUUAAAAUCUCAUAAAAAGCACAAAUAUGUAUCAUUUUUCUUUUUACUAGGAUGAUUUUCUUUUCCACUAAAAUUCCCAUUUUGACAUUUUCAUGGCAAAGCGCUUUCCCAAAAAAUAAAGAAUGUAUAAAAGUCUUUCCCAGAGGAAUACCAAUUUUAGCCUUACCAAAUACAGUUCUCUUCUAAUACCUCACCUUGGCAUAGACAGGAAUAGUCCUGGGUUCUCUGAGGCCAAAACAGCAGAAUUCAUUUUAAGUGCUUUAUAAAUGAUUCUUGUCUACCUGCCUGCAGGCUCUACCAGAUUGAGGCAGUCUUGAAUUUGGGCCUGGUAAUACCACAUCUGUCAUCAAGACACAAGACCUGCUGUUCAGAAGUACGUAACACUAUGAUAGCUUCAGGAUAACAGAAAUUUGGUUCACAGUAAUUCACUGGAACAUUUGCCGAGUCAAAAAUUGUGACCUGUAUUAGGGGAUGGGAGGCCUAAACUCAAGGGAUCAGAUCCUUGAAGAACUGAAAUAUCAAAUAAAAAAAUUCAGCUG